This 854-nucleotide long non-coding RNA is filed under the name Junco hyemalis (dark-eyed junco). Its description in RNAcentral is "lncRNA (ENSJHYG00000017561.1)". Lineage: Eukaryota; Metazoa; Chordata; Aves; Passeriformes; Passerellidae. The record is from RNAcentral.
CAAGCAAACCCAUUCACCUGCCCAUGUCUCAAUUCCAGGCACUAUCAACUGCGUCUGUGUAAAUGGCUAAAGUACAAACAGUGGGUAUGUUGCCAGUGGGAAGAGUGGCUGAUAUGAAGGAGAAUGUUUCUAGGAGUCUCUUUUCCCUAGGUUUGACAUCCAGAUCCUGCUGGUUCACAAACAGGCCACAGAGAGCUCUUGACGGACCAGCAGGAUUUCCAGGGAUGGUCAGUAUUGAUAAAAGCCAGAGAGAGGCCCCAGAGCUGUGUGCAGGGUCCAGUGGAGCACGAUGGUUGGACUUCAGAAUGGAUGAAAGCACCUUGUCUGUGUCACACCCUGGGAUGAACUGCACUUGUCAGUGGAAGAUACAGCAGGAAGAAAACUCCAGAGAAAUUGCAAGAUCCAUUUGCAACAAGCAUAAUAAAUAUCAAUAAAUUGAAUGGUCAGGAAUAGCACCUACAUAAACAGGAUGUGGCAACUGGAGUGAGCAUAUUAAACUAUACUCAUCAAAUGAUCAGAUUUGCAGUGGGACAAGAGUAUUUAUAUUUUUAAAAAUGAUUUAUGGCUGUCAGAACCCUGGGAAAAGGUUAUGGUUCAUGAAGGAGUUGGACAGGUAGAAAUGUGACCGUUCUCAUAGUUGGAAAUCUAGAAAUGCGUGGAUCCUUUGGAAGGCUCUGGAUGCUGCAAAACAGGUCCUAUAUUGGCAUAGUAAUGCAACACUUGCAACAUCUACAUGCCUUUUGUUAAGGAGGACAAUGGAAAUGUGAGGAGUUUGGGUACUUGAGUCCAUGCAUCUUGGGAAUGUUUAUAAAAGCAUUAAUAAAUUAAUUAAUUAAUUAAGAAUGGCUGUACUU